RNAcentral lists this ribosomal RNA (478 nucleotides) under Streptococcus parasanguinis. Its description in RNAcentral is "bacterial SSU rRNA". It matches the Rfam family "Bacterial small subunit ribosomal RNA", at positions 28 to 490 of the family's 1533-position model. Lineage: Bacteria; Bacillati; Bacillota; Bacilli; Lactobacillales; Streptococcaceae. The record is from RNAcentral.
GAUGAACGCUGGCGGCGUGCCUAAUACAUGCAAGUAGAACGCUGAAGCUUGGUGCUUGCACCGAGCGGAUGAGUUGCGAACGGGUGAGUAACGCGUAGGUAACCUGCCUCUUAGCGGGGGAUAACUAUUGGAAACGAUAGCUAAUACCGCAUAAAAGUCGAUAUCGCAUGAUAUUGAUUUGAAAGGUGCAAUUGCAUCACUAAGAGAUGGACCUGCGUUGUAUUAGUUAGUUGGUGAGGUAACGGCUCACCAAGGCGACGAUACAUAGCCGACCUGAGAGGGUGAUCGGCCACACUGGGACUGAGACACGGCCCAGACUCCUACGGGAGGCAGCAGUAGGGAAUCUUCGGCAAUGGGGGCAACCCUGACCGAGCAACGCCGCGUGAGUGAAGAAGGUUUUCGGAUCGUAAAGCUCUGUUGUAAGAGAAGAACGAGUGUGAGAGUGGAAAGUUCACACUGUGACGGAACUACCAGAAAG